RNAcentral lists this ribosomal RNA (468 nucleotides) under uncultured bacterium. RNAcentral describes it as "partial 16S ribosomal RNA". It matches the Rfam family "Bacterial small subunit ribosomal RNA", at positions 28 to 507 of the family's 1533-position model. The record is from RNAcentral.
GACGAACGCUGGCGGCGUGCUUAACACAUGCAAGUCGAACGGAAAGGCCCUGCUUUUGUGGGGUGCUCGAGUGGCGAACGGGUGAGUAACGCGUGAGUAACCUGCCCUUGACUUGGGGAUAACUUCAGGAAACUGGGGCUAAUACCGGAUAGGAGCUCCUGCUGCAUGGUGGGGGUUGGAAAGUUUCGGCGGUUGGGGAUGGACUCGCGGCUUAUCAGCUUGUUGGUGGGGUAGUGGCUUACCAAGGCUUUGACGGGUAGCCGGCCUGAGAGGGUGACCGGCCACAUUGGGACUGAGAUACGGCCCAGACUCCUACGGGAGGCAGCAGUGGGGAAUAUUGCACAAUGGGCGGAAGCCUGAUGCAGCAACGCCGCGUGCGGGAUGACGGCCUUCGGGUUGUAAACCGCUUUCGCCUGUGACGAAGCGUGAGUGACGGUAAUGGGUAAAGAAGCACCGGCUAACUACGUG